Molecule: ribosomal RNA, 253 nt
Filed under: uncultured Flavobacterium sp.
Lineage: Bacteria; Pseudomonadati; Bacteroidota; Flavobacteriia; Flavobacteriales; Flavobacteriaceae
Description: partial 16S ribosomal RNA
Rfam family: Bacterial small subunit ribosomal RNA
Source: RNAcentral
UACGGAGGAUCCAAGCGUUAUCCGGAAUCAUUGGGUUUAAAGGGUCCGUAGGCGGUCUGGUAAGUCAGUGGUGAAAGCCCAUCGCUCAACGGUGGAACGGCCAUUGAUACUGCUGGACUUGAAUUACUGGGAAGCAACUAGAAUAUGUAGUGUAGCGGUGAAAUGCUUAGAGAUUACAUGGAAUACCAAUUGCGAAGGCAGGUUGCUACCAGUGGAUUGACGCUGAUGGACGAAAGCGUGGGUAGCGAACAGG